GAUGAACGCUGACGGCGUGCCUAAUACAUGCAAGUCGAGCGAACGGACGAUAAGCUUGUUUCUCUGAUGUUAGCGGCGGACGGGUGAGUAACGCGUGGAUCACCUACUUAUAAGACUGGGAUCACUUCGGGAAACCGGAUCUAAUACCAGAUAAUCUUUUGAACCGUAUGGUUCAAAGGUGAAUUACGGUCUUGCUGUCACUUAUAGCUGGAUCCGCGCUGCAUUAGCUAGUUGGUAAGGUAACGGCCUACCAAGGCUACGAUGCAUAGCCGACCUGAGAGGGUGAUCGGCCACACUGGAACUGAGACACGGUCCAGACUCCUACGGGAGGCAGCAGUAGGGAAUCUUCCGCAAUGGGCGAAAGCCUGACGGAGCAACGCCGCGUGAGUGAUGAAGGUCUUCGGAUCGUAAAACUCUGUUAUUAGGGAAGAACAUAUGUGUAAGUAAAUGUGCACAUCUUGACGGUACCUAAUCAGAAAGCCACGGCUAACUACGUG
RNAcentral lists this ribosomal RNA (497 nucleotides) under uncultured bacterium. Its description in RNAcentral is "partial 16S ribosomal RNA". It matches the Rfam family "Bacterial small subunit ribosomal RNA", at positions 28 to 507 of the family's 1533-position model. The record is from RNAcentral.